RNAcentral lists this ribosomal RNA (468 nucleotides) under Entrophospora claroidea. Its description in RNAcentral is "partial 26S ribosomal RNA". It matches the Rfam family "Eukaryotic large subunit ribosomal RNA", at positions 288 to 633 of the family's 3401-position model. Lineage: Eukaryota; Fungi; Glomeromycota; Glomeromycetes; Entrophosporales; Entrophosporaceae. The record is from RNAcentral.
CCAAAUGGGUGGUAAACAUCACCUAAGGCUAAAUAUUGGCGAGAGACCGAUAGCGAACAAGUACCGUGAGGGAAAGAUGAAAAGAACUUUGAAAAGAGAGUUAAACAGUACGUGAAAUUGUUGAAAGGGAAACGAUUGAAGUCAGUCGUGCUGGCGCGAAAUCAACCUUCUCGUCUUGAGAUCACAUGGCGUGGCGAGCCUCAAAACCGUCACGAAGCGUGAACUCUUGGUGAAAUGGAGCACUUUCGUGUCCGCUGGUUAACAUCAAUUUCGAACGUCAUAAAAAGGCUGGAGGGAUGUGGCUCCUUCGGGAGUGUUAUAACCUUUAGCGGAAUGUGGUGUUCGGGAUUGAGGAUUGCAACGAAUACCUUUAGGGCUGUUCCACCUGGCUUCUCUUUGGUAUCCUGGUGACGACAGCUUGCUGACGUUGUUAGGAUUCGCCUUUGAACAGGCUAGAGUGUGAGCAAA